AACGAACGCUGGCGGCAGGCUUAACACAUGCAAGUCGAACGCACCUUUCGGGGUGAGUGGCAGACGGGUGAGUAACGCGUGGGAAUCUACCCUUCUCUACGGGAUAGCUCCGGGAAACUGGAAUUAAUACCGUAUACGUCCUGAGGGAGAAAGAUUUAUCGGGGCAGGAUGAGCCCGCGUUGGAUUAGCUAGUUGGUGGGGUAAAGGCCUACCAAGGCGACGAUCCAUAGCUGGUCUAAGAGGAUGAUCAGCCACAUUGGGACUGAGACACGGCCCAAACUCCUACGGGAGGCAGCAGUGGGGAAUAUUGGACAAUGGGCGCAAGCCUGAUCCAGCCAUGCCGCGUGAGUGAUGAAGGCCCUAGGGUUGUAAAGCUCUUUCAGUGGGGACGAUAAUGACGGUACCCACAGAAGAAGCCCCGGCUAACUUCGUG
RNAcentral lists this ribosomal RNA (433 nucleotides) under uncultured bacterium. RNAcentral describes it as "partial 16S ribosomal RNA". It matches the Rfam family "Bacterial small subunit ribosomal RNA", at positions 29 to 507 of the family's 1533-position model. The record is from RNAcentral.